UUGGCGAGGUAACGGCUCACCAAGGCAAAGACGGGUAGCUGGUCUAAGAGGAUGGUCAGCCACACUGGGACUGAGACACGGCCCAGAGUCCUACGGGAUGCAGCAGCCAGGAAUAUUGCGCAAUGGAGGAAACUCUGACGCAGCGACGCCGCGUGGGUGAUGAAGGCCUUCGGGUCGUAAAGCCCUGUCGGAGGGGAAGAAAAGCUUGUUGGCUAAUAUCCAGCGAGCCCUUGACGGUACCCUCAAAGGAAGCACCGGCUAACUCCGUGCCAGCAGCCGCGGUAAGACGGAGGGUGCAAGCGUUGUUCGGAUUGACUGGGCGUAAAGGGCGUGUAGGCGGUUGGUUAAGUCGGGUGUGAAAGCCCGGGGCUCAGCUCCGGAAGUGCGCCCGAAACUGGCCAGCUGGAGCGCGGUAGAGGAGGGUGGAAUUCCUGGUGU
This 438-nucleotide ribosomal RNA is filed under the name uncultured bacterium. Its description in RNAcentral is "bacterial SSU rRNA". It matches the Rfam family "Bacterial small subunit ribosomal RNA", at positions 249 to 676 of the family's 1533-position model. The record is from RNAcentral.